CCAAUCCAGACUCGACCAACCGACCCUGAGAGUUUGGGCAUAUUGUUGGAGCCUCCCAUUUCCACACUCCCAUUUCCACGUUUACAAAAUGGUGACUAACAUCUCCCUGGAGACGUGCUGGGUGAGUACACCAAGACAAACACGUGAAGUGCUGAGACGCUAUCAGGCCCACUGCAAACGCCUAAUAAGUCCUGGCUGCUGUUCUCGCUCACCAUUGUUCUGGAAAGCAAGAUGCUGUGGCAAGGGGAAGCACAGACACUACAAGAACAAUGCCUUCAGGGGCAGAGGUGGCCAGCAGCUGCCCAGGCUGCUGCCUUGUUCAGGCCAAGCCCCGAAGUGUGUGUGUGUGUGUGUGUGUGUGUGUGUGUGUGUGUGUGGAGGGGGAUACUGGUGUAGGGGACCCAACUUCCUGUACCAGCGAGACUGUGUGACCUGGGGGUGCCUCCCAACCUGCAGAGGUCAAUUUGCCUCUUUGCUUCUGUAGCUGCCCUCCGGAGACAGCAGCAGCAGCAGCAGUGGCGGAGGGAGAAGCAGCUGGGGUUGGCGCUCAGCCACUCCAGCUGUCGUCUUUGGUAACGUGUUUAUCUGCUCCAGAGGGAGAUGGAUGGCUGAGCAAGGAGGUGUACGGGAGGCUGGACUCCACACACAGUGACCUGCCAGCUUGGUUGGAGUACCCAUGCAGUCUCAGAACAGGAUUCUAGGCAGACCGGGAGUGACACGGGCAGCCAUGGGAUGCUCUCACUUGUUUGAGGUUCAAGUGUGUGCACAUUUGUUAACAGGUUUCUACUGGAGGAACCAAAGAGGGUACGCCAAGCUCAUCCUGCUUGGGGCUUGGUGCACAGCAGUCACCCACAGGUGCUCUGGAGUCCGAAGGCAGAUUCAGGAGCCAGCAGCUGAGUGUGUCGGUGCUGUACUCUGUAACCAAGUGCAAAGCCACAAUGGCCGACCAAAGCCGUGGGGGCCACAGUAUGUUCAUCCUCUCCAGGGAGGGGGGCAGGGAAAAAAGACAA
Molecule: long non-coding RNA, 1010 nt
Organism: Alexandromys fortis (reed vole)
Lineage: Eukaryota; Metazoa; Chordata; Mammalia; Rodentia; Cricetidae
Exons: 3
Source: RefSeq, a predicted model, not a curated record